Molecule: long non-coding RNA, 653 nt
Filed under: Coffea arabica (coffee)
Lineage: Eukaryota; Viridiplantae; Streptophyta; Magnoliopsida; Gentianales; Rubiaceae
Description: long non-coding RNA (CARA_LNC000572)
Source: RNAcentral
AUAGGUGUAAUUAAAUGCAAUUUUGUGAAGUAGAAAUCAAAAUGAACAAUAAGGAAAGGAAAAUGUGAAUUGAAAAGAAUGAGUGAGUGAUAAAUGAGAAUGAAUGAACCUAAGGGAAUGCAUCAGGUCGGGUGUGGGAAUGACUCCUAACUUUUUCGACUUCGAUUUUCCCUUUGAUUAGAAGGCAAAACUAGCGUGCUAAGGCUAUCGAGUAGCCACACUCGCUCGUUUCCCUUAUCAGAAGGGGACCCUCAAGCAAAUGGACCCUACAACUAUCAUGAUAUGCAAAAAUCCUAAAAUGAAGGGAAAGGGGGUUCGAGGAGCAUGCCAAGUGAUAAAACUAAGAAAAAUGCAUGAUAUGUGGUGAACAAACAAAUGAUAUGCUAAUGAGGGGAAAUCCCUAAGGGUCUAGCGUUGGACUAGCCCAUUCUAUGAAUUCCGACUAGCGUUGGACUAGCGGAAACGUACAUUCAUCCAUUCCAUUCAUUCAUGGCUAUGAAAGCAAGUAGACAUGCCAAAAUACUCGUAAACACAUAGCACAUAGCAUUUAGCAUGCUCGACUAGAUGCAAGAGCCUAAUAAAGCAAUUAAACAUGUAGCAACAAAAGCAAGCAACCAGGGGGAAGGGGAAGUGGACCAGAUGCUCUCCGAGCC